Molecule: ribosomal RNA, 414 nt
Filed under: uncultured bacterium
Lineage: Bacteria
Description: bacterial SSU rRNA
Rfam family: Bacterial small subunit ribosomal RNA
Source: RNAcentral
UGGGGAAUUUUGGACAAUGGGGGCAACCCUGAUCCAGCAAUGCCGCGUGAGUGAAGAAGGCCUUCGGGUUGUAAAGCUCUUUUGUCAGGGAAGAAACGGUAGUAGCGAAUAACUAUUACUAAUGACGGUACCUGAAGAAUAAGCACCGGCUAACUACGUGCCAGCAGCCGCGGUAAUACGUAGGGUGCAAGCGUUAAUCGGAAUUACUGGGCGUAAAGCGUGCGCAGGCGGUUGUGUAAGUCAGAUGUGAAAUCCCCGGGCUCAACCUGGGAAUUGCAUUUGAGACUGCACGGCUAGAGUGUGUCAGAGGGGGGUAGAAUUCCACGUGUAGCAGUGAAAUGCGUAGAUAUGUGGAGGAAUACCGAUGGCGAAGGCAGCCCCCUGGGAUAACACUGACGCUCAUGCACGAAAGCG